GGCGAACGGGUGAGUAACACGUGGAUGAUCUGCCCUGCACUUCGGGAUAAGCCUGGGAAACUGGGUCUAAUACCGGAUAGGAGCCAUUUUUAGUGUGAUGGUUGGAAAGUUUUUCGGUGUAGGAUGAGCUCGCGGCCUAUCAGCUUGUUGGUGGGGUAAUGGCCUACCAAGGCGGCGACGGGUAGCCGGCCUGAGAGGGUGGACGGCCACAUUGGGACUGAGAUACGGCCCAG
Molecule: ribosomal RNA, 233 nt
Filed under: uncultured Actinomycetales bacterium
Lineage: Bacteria; Bacillati; Actinomycetota; Actinomycetes; Actinomycetales
Description: partial 16S ribosomal RNA
Rfam family: Bacterial small subunit ribosomal RNA
Source: RNAcentral